AAUUAGUUAUACUGUGUAUAAUUUUUAGUGGCUGAGAAAAAGAAGACAGCAUGCAAAAUGAAUAAAAGAACAUUUAAAAGAGAAGCUGGAGGAAUACAUGGUCCGUUUUGCCAAAGUGAGGAUUGUACGAACCAAGAAACGAGAAGGGCUCAUUCGAACCAGACUGCUAGGAGCCUCACUGGCUAGAGGAGAAGUCUUGACAUUUCUGGAUUCCCAUUGCGAAGUCAACGUGAAUUGGCUGCCUCCCUUGCUUAACCAGAUUGCACUUAACCACAAAACCAUCGUGUGUCCUAUGAUCGAUGUCAUUGACCACAAUCACUUUGGCUACGAGGCACAGGCGGGGGAUGCCAUGCGAGGAGCUUUUGACUGGGAAAUGUACUACAAAAGAAUACCGAUUCCUCCAGAGCUCCAGAGAGCUGAUCCCAGCGACCCCUUUGAGUCUCCUGUAAUGGCUGGAGGUCUAUUUGCUGUUAAUCGGAAAUGGUUCUGGGAGCUGGGAGGCUAUGAUCCAGGAUUAGAAAUAUGGGGAGGAGAGCAGUAUGAAAUCUCCUUUAAGGUGUGGAUGUGUGGAGGUGGCAUGUAUGAUGUUCCAUGCUCUCGAGUUGGACAUAUCUACAGGAAGUAUGUCCCAUAUAAAGUCCCUUCUGGAACCAGCCUAGCACGGAACCUGAAGCGUGUGGCAGAGACAUGGAUGGAUGAGUUUGCAGAGUACAUUUACCAGCGACGGCCUGAGUACAGACAUCUCUCAACUGGCGAUAUCUCUGCCCAGAAGGAGCUGCGCAAGCACCUGAAGUGUAAAGAUUUCAAGUGGUUCAUGGCUGCAGUGGCUUGGGAUGUCCCAAAAUAUUACCCACCUGUGGAACCUCCACCUGCUGCCUGGGGCGAGCCUCUACAAUUGCACAAAUAUGAAUGUUGGAAAUAUUCGAAACGUGGCAGCCAACCUCUGUGUGGACAGUAAACAUGGAGCCACAGGGACUGAGCUGAGGCUAGACAUCUGUGUGAAGGAUGGCUCAGAACGAACGUGGUCACAUGAACAGCUCUUCACCUUUGGUUGGAGAGAAGACAUCCGCCCUGGGGAGCCACUUCACACCAGGAAGUUCUGCUUCGAUGCCAUUUCGCACAGUAGCCCUGUCACACUGUAUGAUUGUCAUGGGAUGAAGGGAAACCAGCACUGGAGCUAUAGGAAGGACAAAACUUUAUUCCAUCCGGUAAGCAGCAGCUGCAUAGAUUGCAACCCAGCUGAGAAGAAGAUUUUCAUGAACAGAUGCGAUCCUUUAUCUGAAACUCAACAGUGGAUUUUUGAACAUAUUAAUAUGACUGUUUUAGAAAAAUUUAACAGCAAGGCCAGUUCCUAGAAAGAAAAAAAAGAGAAAAAAUGAACACACCUAUUUACGUACAGACUGCAGACUACGUUUUCGCCAGCAUCUGGGUCAAAGGAGUCAGGAAUUAAGUUUCCUAGAUCCAGGAAAUCUGUUCUGAGGAUUAAGAAAAUGCCACAGCAAGAGCCAGCAGGCUGUCCUUGUGGAUGUACAGUAUCUGGAGAACUUGGCCAAGAGCCUCACCGGAUGCUGCUGAGAACUUCAGGCUGAAAAUUCCCUUGCUGGUCAAGGGAAAAACUUUGUUUAAAAACUGUUUAAAAGUACUCCAAGUUAAUAAAGUAAAACAAAACUCUAGUUUCUCAGGUCAAAUCCUGCUGUAGUGAGUAGCUCAGAACAGGCGCUAUAAUUUGGGAUGGGUAUAUGGUGUGCAUGACAGCUACAGGAACCUGAAGAAAUCCCAGGUUUUAGAACUAAACAUGCUAGUAGAAGAAUAAUGAUGUCCCAGCACUCCCUAAACAAGAUAUAUGCUCUGUUGACAUUCUCUUAAUAAAAAGUUGGGUUAAGCAGGUUUAACCCUCAGAACUGCUGCAAUUAAUUUUAAAUACCUCCCUUUUACAUUCCAUUCAUUACCAAAAUAGGAAUGGUAGAAAUUUUAGGGUCUAGAAUUACACUGUAGUGAAGCAUGGAAUAAACUGUAAGGUUUUGCUCUCAUAUUUUCCCCUUCAGGAAAAAAAAAGUAAAGCAAUCAAAUCUCUAUACAUGAUAUAUUUAGCCAUUGUGAUUCAAAUCCCAUUGUCACAUAAGGUGAGAGGGUUUUUUUAGUGACAAAUAUAACAGCAGCAGUUGCAGCAUAGUGGAAGGCUCGUGGACUAGCUAUCUUUUCUACAGGUAGAAUCCUUGCCAACGUAUAAAUUAAAUUGAAAAUAGGCUGGGAAAAAAAAUCGGGAGAGUAGGAAAUAAUUGCAUACUGCAUGCUGAACUAGAUUAGUCAAAUUAACAAUGGUAUGUUGCCAUCACCUAAAAGUAUGUUGACUCCUUGCAGUGCAGCUUGAAAGAUCUUGCAGUGCUCUUGACAGAUAGGAAUGGAGAGAAAAAUUGACAUGAAAUCAGUUGGGUGGUUUCAAAGUUUUUGAAAUCUGUGAUGGAAAUCAUGUGAACUUUGCAGAGUUAGCAAGUGAAUGGUAUUGUAGAUAUCAGGAGAGAGGAAACAAGAUGUGCAAACAAGUUAAAUGUUACGAUAUUUUGACACUUUAGGCACAGGCACAAUUCACGGUAACACAGACUUCUGUCACCCAGAUGAUCAUUAUGGUAUCUCUCAGACUCAUCAAGCCAUUGGAGUGAGAGGCCUCUCAAACUUCUUUGGGAGGGUGUCUGUGGUUCUCCUCAGUUAAUACUGAUGUGUGGAACAUGACUAAUAGCUUUGAGAUUGUUCAAGGUAAGAGCGAGUAUAAAUUUAUAUCAAAUAUGUGACCUGCUUUUACUUGAAAGAUGAAUUCACAGAUGAAAGCACCAUAAAUGCAGAUAGAUCACAUGCUCUGUGCUGUAACUCCUUUCAGGUUCCAAAUAUAACAUUUGUAGUUAAGUUGCUUAUUCUGAUUGCUAAAGAGGUGGCCGACUAACCAAAAUACUGAUGUGCAAUCUACACUGUUUUGAGGGAGUGGAGUGACUGUUUUGUUUAUUUCUCUUUAAGCUGUGUUUAUGCACAAGAGCAUUGAUUGCAUCCAGAGGAUGGUUCUAAUACCAAUAACUGUGCUAUUUUAUGGCAGCACCUUGUAGUUGCAGGUCAUAGGAAAUUUUUAGGAGGGAAAUGAGAUCCUGUAGCAUUCAAGAUGCAUGCACUUGGAAAACUGUGAAAUGUGUCCAUGUAUUUAGCAAUUGCUGCAAGUUAGUGAAGAAAUCUUUCAAAUAAUUUGAAAGAAAAAUAUCUACAGAGAUAGAUUUCUCAUUUUAUGAUUUUAAAAUAAGUGAGAUUGUUCAAGUAUUGUUUAAAUUUGAUUUGAAGAUAUGGUGCACUCGGGAACAGAAGCAGUAAUGCUGCGGUGUGCGGAUACUUCAGAUUUGUUUAGCCAUCAGUACACAGAACCAGUCUAGCAAUGCAAACUGUCAGCCUUUCCAGGUGCAGAGCUCACAGCAGCAUAUAUUUGCAGCUUGAACAUGAGGAAAGACGGUUUGGGAAAAAGAAGAAAAUGGCUGCCUCAGAUGCAAAUACAGCCCUCAAGCUGCUGAUUGUAACUGGCCCCAAACUGUCAAAGUCCUGGAAGCAACACUGUAUGCCCAAAAUAGAGAGGCAAAGGUUGGAUUGCUAAACCGGAACAGAUUGGUAGGGUUAUAUCAUUCAGUGUCUGACUGCAUCUCAGUGGUCUGAUUUUGAGAUGUCUAAUGGGAACUAGGCUGCUGUUGGGGCAAAGAACUUCUGUGCCUUUUACAGCCCUCGUUGAGUAAUAUUGCACAGUGCCUUGCACUGCCAAAGGAAACCUUCCCCUUACUUGUAGCUGAUCUCGACUUGUAAACUCUAGCAGUCCUUGUCAGAAAACAUAACUAAUAUUCAGGUGUUCUGGGGAAAGAUAAUAGUCCUUGCACAGGAUUCCUUCAACAAAAUUUUAUUAAUAAUAAAUGAUCAUCGCUACCUCUCAAUUAAAUUCUGUCUUGGGUGUUCUCCAAAGGUUUCCACUGUAAGAAUAUUUCAUUACUAAUUUAUCAUUCUGAAUUUCUUUGAUUCUUUCUACAACCAUAUCUUUUCCACCCAGCAAACUUAUGAACAACUUGGUAGGAUGGACAGAUGUAUCUUCCUCUCUUAUUUCAGCAGGAGAAUUUAAUAUGUGUUUCUUCAAAAGACUGAAGUUACUUCCCAAAAUUUUUUUUGAAUACCAGAUAGUUCUGAACAUAUUUUAAGUGUAGAGCACAGGUGACAUUAAGUAAUGUGGGCUCAUCAUUUCAGUGGAGUUAUACUGAUUUCCCCAACUAAUGACUUGCUUCAGUUUUUUUCAAUUCAUUAUUUUUUGGCUGAGAGGGCUUUAGUCAACAUGCCUUAAAAGAAGAUCUUUGUAUUGUAAGAGUUCAUCAGCACCUACUCUAAAUUUUUUCCAGUUAAAGUUAUCUGACCUUUUUUUGUGGCCAGCAAACUACUAUGAUAGGAGAGAGCAACUGGAAAAGCUGGAAUGAACUCCAAGUGCAACUAAAACUCUAAAAUCACACAUUUCCCUGCAUGUAUUCUAGAACCUAAACUAAACGGAGGCCUUGAGGGACAGGGCUUAAAGGAGGGAGGAGGAGCUGGGAAACAAAAUGUUUCAUGUGUGGGAGAGCAGCCUUGUUGCAGAGGCAUAAGGCAUCACUUUUCACUGGCCACAGAAAAAUGAGAUUGCUUUAGAACAAAUGUUUCUGCAACAGUAUGGAUAUUUUCAUGAUAAUAAUGCAUUAUUCUUGGGUUUUAUCUGUUUAGCUGCUGAACUAAGUCUGCCUCACAAUAAAGAUAGACUAAGUUUGAAAGGAAGCUGACAAGCACUUAACAACCUUUGGUUACUGGCUAUUUACCAGGCAUCAAUGUCUCCAUGACCUCAGUGAAAUCAGAUGCCACAGAAGAUCAUAGAAGAAUAGUAUAUAAAUAGCUUGACCAAAUUGAUUAGAUGGGUUGCACUUCUGCAAGAGUGGAUGUUACCUUUGUUUAAAAAAAAACCCUCAUAAUCACAAUUUAUUUGCAUUUUUACUGAUAAUUUCUGCAAGGGAGUGAGUGAGAGGGACUGUUUUAACCUACCCAGAUGGAUUGGGGAUGGAGCAUUUUAGGAAGGCAGCACUGGGAGGCUUUCAGUGUGGCUGACAGCAGGGGUGCGUCCAUUUUCUAUUUGAAGAGCAUCUAUAAUGCUCUUAACCUAGCAUUUUUUGAGAGAAUGCAGGAUGUACAUUAAAAAAAAAGAUAAUGAUUUUAUUUUUCUUUUUAAUCCAUCAAGGUUGUUUGGGAAAUAAUUUCAAAACCUUUGAAAACAAAACAGGCUGAUCAGAAGUAACUUCUAUUAUAGCUGGUAUUAGUAUUAUAAUGUUCAUUAAUUCAUUUGUUUAACCCCCUUCCAAAUCUGUUUCAUAUCCUGUUAGAAAGAGCACAAGGGGCCAAGAGUGCUUUUACAUAAUGUUUUCAGGAUCUUACCAUGUCUGAAAGUUUUGAAAGGCCUUUUAAAAAUUAACAAAUAUAAACCAAAAGGUAACAAGGAAAAACACUUGGCUAUUAUGUCUAGUCUACCAAAAUAUUUUGCUAAACUUGUGCAAAAAUAAUAUAUUUUAACUGGAAAUUUUUAGAUUAAUAAGUAAUAUAGUUUAGUAAGUCUUUAGUGUGUAGUGCUUUCUAUCGAAGAAUUUUAAUUUAAAAAAAAAUGAAUUUGUGUGGUUAGUUGCUGACAGGGUUUUUUUUAACCACAUUUAAUACAUAAAUCUGUCCUGAGGUCUCCUGUAAUCUCAUAUUUCCUUUUCAUAAUUCCUAAUGCACUGAAUUUAAGAAAAUGUGAACAUAGGAAAAAAAACUCAAAAAAGUAAGAAACUUGUGUAAAAACAAAUAGUGAGAAUGUGUAGCUAGAGAUGUUGAGAAAAAUGCAUCACAUUUCCAAAGCUUCAGCUGCAUUCAGAAAAUACAUGUGCUUUGUGUGGUGGCUUUCUAUUCUUUCAGUGUAUCAUUAAUAAUAGUGGUACUACUCCUGAGGCAGGCCUUCUGAAAAUGGUGUUGCUAGCAUUUGGUACAAUAGGUGGACAGCAUGGUGCUAGAGGAAAAAAUCUAGGAACCGCUCCUGAAAAAAUUGCAUUCAAACAUUGCAAUCUGAUAUGCCUUAAGAUCUUAGCUGUUUUUAAGAUUUCUUUUAUCUUAGUAUUUUUUUACAGGACCUGGUAGUGCAGUAGGUGCUUCAGGGCCCUUAUGAAAACAAUGCAGACAAUGGGAACAAAGAGGACACAGGUGACACCUAAAGGUGUGGUUACUGCAGCAAUGUCAAGGGUAAUUAUACACAAAGAGAAGUUUGUUUAUUUUGUGUGGCCACUGUAGUAAAUGCCCAGCUUAACAGAACAGAUGAAUGAGAAGGAGCCUAGCAAAGUGGGCCAGCAGAAAAGCUUGUACUCAAUAGAAGAUGUAGAAAAAGUCCCAAUGGUCCAUUUUAGAGAAGCAGAUGAACAGGGUGUUGAGAUGGAUAUCAUAGACAGUGUAAGGGAUAUGAGGGGAGCUGCAAGUGAGGCAAGUCUGGUAAGUAAGGCUACUAUCUAAAAGAUAUUAAGACAUAGGAAAGGAAAACUUGGUCCUCAUUAACCUUAGCCCUCAUUAACCUUGGCAGGAUCCCUAACACUUUGUCAAAGUAUUAGUUGAUUUAAUUAAGUUAAUCCUUCAUCUCUCCCAGUAAAUGACUCAACCUGGAAGAAACCAUAGUUCAAGCAAAUUUCUGUUUACCAGUCCGGAGCAUCUAAUUGGCAAAAUAUGCCACUAGCAACAGUUUAGUCAAAAAUCUCAACUGGCACUAGAAAUAAAACAAUAUUAUCAGACUGAAAGAUCAGUAGACCUCUGGCAUCCCUCUGUGAAAAAAAGAUUUCACUUGCCUAAAGAACUGAUUGAUGGUAAUGAUCCUAGAUUAAGAAGAUCAGGAAUUGUGAGCUUUCAAGGAGGUGAAAGGCCAAAUGGUGAGAUUAGGACUUGGCAGUUUAAUUGAGAGAGGAAGGAGGAAAUAGGUGGUAAAAGGGAAGAAGCAGGAAUCAGGUUUAAUUCUGUAUAUGAAGGAAGUAUGACCUACAAAGGUCAGUCACUGAUAAUUUUGGAUACUUCUUCAUAGCAGAGCUUGCAUGUUUAUUUCCAUCACAAAUAUUCAGUAAUUGAGAGGCAAUCAAGUCCUCUUGCAAGGACUUAAAUUUAGAAUAGAAACUGGAUACUCUGAAGUGUAUUGAUUGUGAAAUACAUGAUGGCAACUAGAGAAAAGCUUUGCUGGACCCCAGGUUUGUUCUGAGUUUUUCACCAAAGGUAUGUGUGGACGUUCCUGAGGAUACCUUGUGGGUAGUAUGUAUAAGCAGAACAUUAUGGUCACUGUUUUACCUCAGAUUAAUAUCUCUCUAUAUCUCAGGCUUUUUUGAAAGAGGAAAAGUGUUUAGCUAAAUUUUUCAGGAAAUGUCAACUCGGAUCAGUGCGAAAUAGCUCUGCCUGCUCCCUAUGUGGACCAAGAUAAUAAGUGUUUCUCUUCAGACAUCAAAUACAGCUCUCAAAAAAAAAAGAAUGGUAUGGCUCUGCCUUCAUGGCUCCUUGCAAUUCAGUUAUUUUAUUUAUUUUUUUCCUAUUUGGUGUUUCUUCCCUUCUGCUGGCUUCCCAUCUGCAGGAUUCUGCCAGAAUGCUGUUUCUCUUUCUUCCCACCUUUCUGGUCUGUGCCAAAGGUAUUUCUGCUGUUGCAGAUCCCCUUCUCAAGAUAAAAGUGACUAAAACUGCUUUGAUCUUGACUGGGCAGAGCCACAAGCCUUUCUGCCUCAGGGUACAUGGUUUACAGUGGCUUGUGCUAACAGUGGGAUAGGGAGGAGAAAUGCACCUGAGAAGUUCUGUCCUUAUGGGCCAGUCUCACUACAGAUUUCAUUCAUGGAAAAGUUGUAGCUCAUAGCACAGAGAGUCAAACAUCCUUGAGAGAGAAAAUUGCAUUCAAAUUGGUAGAUCACAAAUUGGUGAUCUACUUUCUCACCCAUCUUCAAUAUUCAGAACUGCCCAGAGAAGGAAGUAUGUAAGAACAGGAAGCAUCUAAGUCAGUGGAUAUACUUUGUACUAAUGUAUAGAAGCAGCCAAACUUAGUCUGGACAUCAGGUUUUCAUCUUUUGAUUAUCCAUAUUGAGCUAACAUAGAUACAAGAAACUGAGCAGAAUUAUAUUAAAUUGUGGUUUGUGAAAGCCACCAAGGGAUUAUAAUAACUUUAACUGAAGGCAUUAUUGCAAAUCUGAAAUGGAUGCAUAAUCUGUGAUGAAUGCAUGAUAUAAGUUAACUUCUAGUCAAGCUGCAAAGAGUCAGAGGGGUUGGUUUUUUUUACAAAAACACAAAAAGAGAGAGAUUAUCCAACAUGCAGCAGCUUUUGCUUACAGAUGUACAGGGCUCCAUUUUAUUCCCCAGCAUGACAGCAAAGUUAAUAUCUAUAAUGAUUCCCAUUAUCAAAGCAACAUUUGCAGAGGUGGCAGUAAAACAUCACCUUUUCUUUCCUACUAGACAGGAAUCCUUUCACUGGUUUCCUAAUUGGUUUUAUGCACCUCCAGAGUCAUUUAUUUGUAACCAGAACAUAUGGAUAGAAGUUGUACCGUGUCUCUUCACUAAACAAGUUCCUAGGAAAUCAGAGUACCAGUGUAAAGGCUGUACAAAUGCACUUUUAAAAGAAUUGUCAGCCAAGGAAGGGGAAUUUCAUACAAAAGAAAAGUAAGUCCCCCUAAAUGGACAUGAGCUGGCAAUGUGUGGUCGCAAUGUGCACUUGCAGCCCAGAAAGCCAGUUGUAUUCUGGGCUGCAUCAAAAGCAGCAUGGUCAGCAGGUCAAAGGAAGCGAUUCUCCCCCUCUCCUCCACUCUCGUGAGACUCCACCUGGAGUGCUGCAUCCAGCUCUGGGGCCCCCAGCACAGGAAGGACGUGGACCUGUUGGAGCAAAUCCAGAGGAGAGCCACCAGGAUGAUUAGAGGGACAAAGUACUUCUCCAAUGAGGAAAGACUAACACAAUUGGGUUUGUGGAGCCUGGAAAAGAGAAAGCUAAAUUCUUUACUGUGAUGCUGGUGAGGCACUGGAACAGGUUGCCCAAAGAAGUUGUGGAUGUCCCAUCCUUGGAAAUGUUUAAGGUGAGGUUGGAUGGAGUUCUGAGCAGCCUGGUCUAGUGGAAGAUGUCCCUGGCCAUGGCAGAGGGACUGGAACUAGAUGAUCUUUAAGGUCGUUUCCAACCUAAACCGUUUUAUGAUUCUAAAACUUGUUUUCCUUUAUUCUUGUCAUAUCAGCCUCCCUAUUGCAGCUACUGCUCUGCAUCAAAACAGGUGAUGUUAAUCUACACCUAGAAGAGUAAUGGUGCUUCAUCAGGGCUCUGCUGCCAGUUUUUCUUACAAAUCUGCACCAUAGCUGUAUAAACCCAUUCUUUGGGGGUUGUUCUCCACAGCUGUUGUCCUGGCAAGGGGUACAUUCCUUCCAACUUUGGCCUGACCUGCAGUUUUCCACCUCAAACUCUGUUGGCUGAAGUAGCUCGAUAUUGCCCAGCUCUCCAGGUGAUGUGGUUCACAGCACAUCUCUCAACACUUCACAGCAGUCCAGUCCACAUAAACACACACACGCACGCACGCACGCACGGUUUACCAAGCGUUAGGUGGCAAAAUAGAAACAUGUGGUCCCUUCUGAGUCUCUGAGUUGCUUCUAUUUAUCAACUAACCUUUCUGAUGGUCAGAGUAUUUUCUAGGCAUCUUUGUGAAUACCCUUUCCUGCAGGUAUCCUGCAAAACAUCCAUUUCUCUCACUUUUCUGAGAGUCUGGAAUUAAAGCUUUCACUUGCUGUUAAACAACAUUCGGGACAAAACAUUCCCUGGCAGUUAAACUAUUAUAAAUUAUAUAUAAAGGGCCAAGAAGAGCUGAAGACAACUUUGUGUAAUCCCUGUCCAAUAUCCCAGUAGGUAAGACAGCCAGUAAUGAUCUGGGCUGAUGGGCAGCUAGUAGAGCUCAACAAGUAAAAUGGAGUUGUCUAAUUUUCUGUGAAUCAAAGUCAGAUUCUUUGGUUAUUGGAAUUUAGGAAAUAUAGCUUUCUGAAAAAAUGGGGAAAAUGUUUUCAGGUGUGUGCAUUUGAAGUAUUAUACAAUAGACUACAAUUAGUAAUAUAUAAAUUAUAAUAAGUAAAGGAAAAUAUACACUUCUGUGCUGACUGGUCUAAGAUAGUUGGUUUAGAUGUUAUUAAACAACAGCUGUAGAAGCUUUGACCAACUUACUAAUGCAUAAAAUAAAGUUUUCAAGACAUGCUUAAAGGGUUUACAGAGAGCACAUGCCUGUAAAUUUCUGGACUGUAAUUAAGAAGCUCAACUAUGGAAUAAAAAUUGUACGCCUGUCCUAUUUUAUAUUUGGAUGUAUUAUGUUACAGAAUACAAAGUAAAAGAUUGCUAAAGAGCAGUUUCAAAAAGAUUACCAUGAUGUGAAUGAAUAAAUACCUCUCAGAAGCUACA
Pipra filicauda (Wire-tailed manakin) is the source of this 10471-nucleotide RNA transcript. It is a transcript of the gene named polypeptide N-acetylgalactosaminyltransferase like 6, with no coding region annotated. The record is from RefSeq and is a predicted model, not a curated record. The transcript has 10 exons. NCBI's taxonomy places the organism in Eukaryota, Metazoa, Chordata, Aves, Passeriformes, Pipridae.